RNAcentral lists this ribosomal RNA (453 nucleotides) under uncultured bacterium. Its description in RNAcentral is "bacterial SSU rRNA". It matches the Rfam family "Bacterial small subunit ribosomal RNA", at positions 30 to 473 of the family's 1533-position model. The record is from RNAcentral.
AUUGAACGCUGGCGGCAUGCCUUACACAUGCAAGUCGAACGGCAGCGCGGGGCAACCUGGCGGCGAGUGGCGAACGGGUGAGUAAUAUAUCGGAACAUACCCUAGAGUGGGGGAUAACGUAGCGAAAGUUACGCUAAUACCGCAUACGCACUAAGGUGGAAAGUGGGGGAUUCGCAAGAACCUCAUGCUCAUGGAGUGGCCGAUAUCUGAUUAGCUAGUUGGUGAGGUAAAGGCUCACCAAGGCAACGAUCAGUAGCUGGUUUGAGAGAACGACCAGCCACACUGGAACUGAGACACGGUCCAGACUCCUACGGGAGGCAGCAGUGGGGAAUUUUGGACAAUGGGGGGCAACCCUGAUCCAGCAAUGCCGCGUGAGUGAAGAAGGCCUUCGGGUUGGUUAAAGGACGUCUUUUGUUCUAGGGAAGAACGGUAGAGAGCUAAUAUACUCUUGUC